This 332-nucleotide unclassified non-coding RNA is filed under the name soil metagenome. RNAcentral's name for it is "partial contains 5.8S ribosomal RNA, internal transcribed spacer 2, and large subunit ribosomal RNA". The stretch from base 1 to 120 matches the Rfam family "5.8S ribosomal RNA", at positions 35 to 154 of the family's 154-position model. The record is from RNAcentral.
GAUGAAGAACGUAGCGAAAUGCGAUAAGUAAUGUGAAUUGCAGAAUUCAGUGAAUCAUCGAAUCUUUGAACGCACAUUGCGCCCGCCAGUAUUCUGGCGGGCAUGCCUGUUCGAGCGUCAUUUCAACCAUCAAGCCCCCGGCUUGUGUUGGGGACCUGCGGCUGCCGCAGGCCCUGAAAACCAGUGGCGGGCUCGCUAGUCACUCCGAGCGUAGUAAUACAUCUCGCUCAGGGCGUGCUGCGGGUUCCGGCCGUUAAAAGCCUUAUUUACCCAAGGUUGACCUCGGAUCAGGUAGGAAGACCCGCUGAACUUAAGCAUAUCAAUAAGGAGGA